GAGGAUUUAGCUCAGUGGUAGAGCGCUUGCCUAGCAAGUGCAAGGCCCUGGGUUCAGUCCUCA
Molecule: transfer RNA, 63 nt
Filed under: Rattus norvegicus (Norway rat)
Lineage: Eukaryota; Metazoa; Chordata; Mammalia; Rodentia; Muridae
Rfam family: tRNA
About the family: Transfer RNA (tRNA) molecules are approximately 80 nucleotides in length. Their secondary structure includes four short double-helical elements and three loops (D, anti-codon, and T loops). Further hydrogen bonds mediate the characteristic L-shaped molecular structure. tRNAs have two regions of fundamental functional importance: the anti-codon, which is responsible for specific mRNA codon recognition, and the 3' end, to which the tRNAs corresponding amino acid is attached (by aminoacyl-tRNA synthetases). tRNAs cope with the degeneracy of the genetic code in two manners: having more than one tRNA (with a specific anti-codon) for a particular amino acid; and 'wobble' base-pairing, i.e. permitting non-standard base-pairing at the 3rd anti-codon position.
Source: Rfam by way of RNAcentral